Molecule: ribosomal RNA, 461 nt
Filed under: uncultured bacterium
Lineage: Bacteria
Description: partial 16S ribosomal RNA
Rfam family: Bacterial small subunit ribosomal RNA
Source: RNAcentral
CCUACGUGCGGCAGCAGUGAGGAAUAUUGGUCAAUGGGCGGAAGCCUGAACCAGCCAAGUCGCGUGAGGGAUUAAGGCCCUGCGGGUCGUAAACCUCUUUUGCCGGGGAGCAGUGGUCCGGACGUGUCCGGGCCGGGCGAGUACCCGGAGCAAAAGCAUCGGCUAACUCCGUGCCAGCAGCCGCGGUAAUACGGAGGAUGCGAGCGUUUUCCGGAUUUAUUGGGUUUAAAGGGAGCGAAGGCGGCACGGCAAGCCUGAUGGGAAAGCCCGCGGCCCCACCGCGGGACUGCAUUGUGAACUACCGGGCUGGAGUGACGGAGAGGUAGGCGGAAUUCCUAGUGUAGCGGUGAAAUGCUUAGAUAUCACGAAGAACUCCGAUUGCGAAGGCAGAUCACUGGACUGCAACUGACACUGAGGCGCGAAAGUGUGGGUAUCAAACAGGAUUAGAGACCCGGGUAGUC